This 339-nucleotide ribosomal RNA is filed under the name uncultured Gammaproteobacteria bacterium. RNAcentral's name for it is "bacterial SSU rRNA". It matches the Rfam family "Bacterial small subunit ribosomal RNA", at positions 933 to 1273 of the family's 1533-position model. The record is from RNAcentral. Lineage: Bacteria; Pseudomonadati; Pseudomonadota; Gammaproteobacteria.
UGGAGCAUGUGGUUUAAUUCGAUGCUACGCGAAAAACCUUACCUACUCUUGACAUACUUGGAGGCUCUUGUAAUGAGAGUGUGCCUUUUGGAACCAAGAUACAGGUGCUGCAUGGCUGUCGUCAGCUCGUGUCGUGAGAUGUUCCGUUAAGUCGGAUAACGAGCGCAACCCUUACCCUUAUUUGCCAGCGAUUCGGUCGGGAACUAUAAGGGGACUGCCGGUGAUAAACCGGAGGAAGGUGAGGACGACGUCAAGUCAUCAUGGCCCUUACGAGUAGGGCUACNCNCGUGCUACAAUGGGGAAUACAGACGGACGCUAAGCCGCGAGGUGGUGCUACUC